RNAcentral lists this ribosomal RNA (435 nucleotides) under uncultured Flavobacterium sp. Its description in RNAcentral is "bacterial SSU rRNA". It matches the Rfam family "Bacterial small subunit ribosomal RNA", at positions 358 to 790 of the family's 1533-position model. The record is from RNAcentral. Lineage: Bacteria; Pseudomonadati; Bacteroidota; Flavobacteriia; Flavobacteriales; Flavobacteriaceae.
GGAAUAUUGGACAAUGGGCGCAAGCCUGAUCCAGCCAUGCCGCGUGCAGGAUGACGGUCCUAUGGAUUGUAAACUGCUUUUGUACAGGAAGAAACACUGGUUCGUGAACCAGCUUGACGGUACUGUAAGAAUAAGGAUCGGCUAACUCCGUGCCAGCAGCCGCGGUAAUACGGAGGAUCCAAGCGUUAUCCGGAAUCAUUGGGUUUAAAGGGUCCGUAGGCGGUCUUGUAAGUCAGUGGUGAAAGCCCAUCGCUCAACGGUGGAACGGCCAUUGAUACUGCAGGACUUGAAUUAUUAGGAAGUAACUAGAAUAUGUAGUGUAGCGGUGAAAUGCUUAGAGAUUACAUGGAAUACCAAUUGCGAAGGCAGGUUACUACUAAUUGAUUGACGCUGAUGGACGAAAGCGUGGGUAGCGAACAGGAUUAGAUACCCGGG